RNAcentral lists this ribosomal RNA (434 nucleotides) under uncultured bacterium. RNAcentral's name for it is "partial 16S ribosomal RNA". It matches the Rfam family "Bacterial small subunit ribosomal RNA", at positions 29 to 508 of the family's 1533-position model. The record is from RNAcentral.
AACGAACGCUGGCGGCAUGCCUAACACAUGCAAGUCGAACGAGACCUUCGGGUCUAGUGGCGCACGGGUGCGUAACGCGUGGGAACCUGCCCUUAGGUUCGGAAUAACUCCCCGAAAGGGGUGCUAAUACCGGAUAAUGUCUUCGGACCAAAGAUUUAUCGCCUUUGGAUGGGCCCGCGUUGGAUUAGCUAGUUGGUAGGGUAAAAGCCUACCAAGGCGACGAUCCAUAGCUGGUCUGAGAGGAUGAUCAGCCACACUGGGACGGAGACACGGCCCAGACUCCUACGGGAGGGAGCAGUGGGGGAUAUUGGACAAUGGGCGAAAGGCUGAUCCAGCAAUGCCGCGUGAGUGAGGAAGGCCUUAGGGUUGUAAAGCUCUUUUACCCGGGAUGAUAAUGACAGUAACGGGAGAAUAAGCUCCGGCUAACUCCGUGC